GACAGAGGGUGCAAACGUUGCUCGGAAUCACUGGGCGUAAAGGGCGUGUAGGCGGGAAGGAAAGUCAGAUGUGAAAUCCCCGGGCUCAACCUGGGAACUGCGUUUGUGACUGCAAGACUCGAGUGCGGCAGAGGGGGGUGGAAUUCCACGUGUAGCAGUGAAAUGCGUAGAGAUGUGGAGGAACACCGAUGGCGAAGGCAGCCCCCUGGGUCGACACUGACGCUCAUGCACGAAAGCGUGGGGAGCAAACAGG
RNAcentral lists this ribosomal RNA (253 nucleotides) under uncultured bacterium. RNAcentral describes it as "partial 16S ribosomal RNA". It matches the Rfam family "Bacterial small subunit ribosomal RNA", at positions 524 to 776 of the family's 1533-position model. The record is from RNAcentral.